RNAcentral lists this ribosomal RNA (279 nucleotides) under Triticum aestivum (bread wheat). RNAcentral's name for it is "partial small subunit ribosomal RNA". Lineage: Eukaryota; Viridiplantae; Streptophyta; Magnoliopsida; Poales; Poaceae. The record is from RNAcentral.
AUGGGUGUUUCGCCACAAGCUCAAGGCCGACGGCACCCUCGAGCGGUACAAGGCGAGAUGGGUCGUCCGCGGCUUCUCUCAACGCCCCGGGGUCGACUUCGACGAAACCUUCUCGCCCGUUGUCAAGGCGGCCACAAUCCGGGUCGUCCUCACCAUCGCUGCCACGCGCGACUAGCCCGUUCACCAGAUGGACGUCAACAACGCCUUCUUACACGGCCGCCUCUCCGAUCAAGUGUACUGCUAGCAACCUGCUGGGUUUGUCGACGAUGCGCACCCUGA